This 467-nucleotide ribosomal RNA is filed under the name uncultured bacterium. Its description in RNAcentral is "partial 16S ribosomal RNA". It matches the Rfam family "Bacterial small subunit ribosomal RNA", at positions 29 to 507 of the family's 1533-position model. The record is from RNAcentral.
ACGAACGCUGGCGGCGUGCUUAACACAUGCAAGUCGAACGGAAAGGCCCUGCUUUUGUGGGGUGCUCGAGUGGCGAACGGGUGAGUAACACGUGAGUAACCUGCCCCUGACUUUGGGAUAACUUCAGGAAACUGGGGCUACUACCGGAUAGGAGCUCCUGCUGCAUGGUGGGGGUUGGAAAGUUUCGGCGGUUGGGGAUGGACUCGCGGCUUAUCAGCUUGUUGGUGGGGUAGUGGCUUACCAAGGCUUUGACGGGUAGCCGGCCUGAGAGGGUGACCGGCCACAUUGGGACUCAGAUACGGCCCGGAGUCCUACGGGAGGCAGCAGUGGGGACUAUUGCACAAUGGGCGGAAGCCUGAUGCAGCAACGCCGCGUGCUGGAUGACGGCCUUCGUGUUGUAAACCGCUUUCGCCUGUGACGAAGCGUGAGUGACGGUAAUGGGUAAAGAAGCACCGGCUAACUACGUG